AACUAUUUGACGCUCAGAAUUCUCUGUGUCAUCAGUCCCAUUUGACUGAUUUUUCUUCUUCUUUUGCCUUUUGGAUAUAGCAUUUUCAUCUUUAGGAUUUUCAUCCUCCACUCAAUUUUGAAUCAUUUUCCUCAAGAUCUUCUUGAUGUUCUUGUUAGCUGCUUCGACGGAACUUAGCAUUUUCAUCUUUAGGCUUUUCAUCCUCCACUAUCUCUUCAAUUUUCACUUUACAAAAUGCAAACAAAAUGUAAGGCAUUUUAAAAUACAAGGAAAUAUACAUUCACAAUGCAUAAUCAAAAUAGGCUAAUAGACUAAACUACGCAAUACAACUGUUCUGCCAUAUAAGAUCCUUUUCCCUAAGUACACUUCAUAUAUAUUCAAAAGAUCAGAUAUGCAUACUCACUCGAGGAAUCAAAGGUAGGACCAUUUAUUACUACUCAUUAUCAAUGUAGAACCAAUUCCAUAAUGGAAGGCCAAGUUUUCAACUUUUUGGGGGAAAGGUGGACUGGUCCUAGGAGCAACAGAAAAAUAUUCAACUGUGAACAUGUUAUCUGAUGCUAUAUGGGGCCGAGUGUUGGCCAAUUAAAAACUCACACGUGCAAAAGAUGAAAGCAUAAAAAAUGAGGAUGUUGAGAUGGAUGAGUGGGUAUACCGGGAAACAUAAGAUUAGG
RNAcentral lists this long non-coding RNA (671 nucleotides) under Nicotiana benthamiana. RNAcentral's name for it is "long non-coding RNA (NBEN_LNC034426)". Lineage: Eukaryota; Viridiplantae; Streptophyta; Magnoliopsida; Solanales; Solanaceae. The record is from RNAcentral.